This 755-nucleotide long non-coding RNA is filed under the name Androctonus crassicauda. Lineage: Eukaryota; Metazoa; Arthropoda; Arachnida; Scorpiones; Buthidae. The record is from RNAcentral.
UUGUAUCACUGUUGUAAACCCGUCUGUUUCUGUAAAUAGAUUCCCCCUGACUAACUAGCUAUUUGACACUUUGAUGUGUACUUUAUAGACAUUAUGCAUCCAGUGUGCAGAUGAAGACCCAAUAUCACCAGAGUCAAUUUAUAUACCAGUCCCAUAUCCAUUUAACAUGUCUUUCAUGAAGAAAGUAGCUAAGAAAAUUGACAAGUGAAUAACUGUUACUAGGUUCCAAUGGUUUCAAUAGGCUUAGGAACGAGAAAGACCCUAAAAAUUAACAUGAAAAAACGAGAGUAUAUAGAAUACCAGUAACCAACCAUGAAACUAGUCAACAAGCAGCUUAUAUAGGAGUCACAAGCAGAAUCCUGGCACAGUGCAUAAAGGAGCAUAAAAAUAAUAUAAUGAAUGCCAAAUUAACAAUGGCACUGACAGCAAACACCUAUACUACUGAUCUGACAGUUCAUUGCGAUCAGGCAAGGGUCAUAAAAUUGCUGAUUAACAAAUCCCAGGCCCUUAACAUGGAAACUAUUGAAAUAUUAAAAAGAUAUGAGACAGAACUUCUCGUCAGUGAACACCCAGCCUCCCAAGUGCUGCAAGCAUGGAAUUACCUAUUGCAGAAAUCUGAAAAGAACUUUUAAGAAUAGAUACUACACUCACACUACCUCAAAGGCACCAGAUUAAGUCCUAUAUUGAAAAAUUGACUGCUUUGCUAAUUUAAGGACUUUAAUUCACAUUAUAUUGUUAUAUUUUUUAUUGCAUUU